Molecule: ribosomal RNA, 222 nt
Filed under: uncultured bacterium
Lineage: Bacteria
Description: partial 16S ribosomal RNA
Rfam family: Bacterial small subunit ribosomal RNA
Source: RNAcentral
GAUCAUGGCUCAGGAUGAACGCUAGCGACAGGCUUAACACAUGCAAGUCGAGGGGCAGCGGGGAGUAGCAAUACUCUGCCGGCGACCGGCGCACGGGUGAGUAACGCGUAUGCAACUUACCUAUCAGAGGAGAAUAGCUCAUCGAAAGAUGAAUUAAUGCUCCAUAAAACAGGGGUCCCGCAUGGGAAUAUUUGUUAAAGAUUCAUCGCUGAUAGAUAGGCA